CCUGCCGAGGCGGGCUCCACGGCCCCCGCGCGACGCGGCUCCCGAGCCGCCGAGGGCAGGGUGGGGCCGGCGGGCUGGGGGCGCGGCCGUGGCGUCUGUGCACACACACGCACACACCUUUCCUACGUGCACGCUUGGCAUGUGUGUGCGAGUGUAAGCGAGGGCGGCCACAUCUUUUGUCUGGCCUUUGGGAGCGCCUCCGAGCUCGGCGGCUUAGCCCCUUUCUGAGGCGCUGCCCUGGAGCACAGCCCGGAGGGCAGGGCGGCCCCGCGGUGUCUCCGGCCCGGGCUGGCCUCUCCGCCGCCCGAAGAAUCCGGACGGACCCGCCUUUCCCAGCACCGGAGCCUGGGGCUCCUCGGCUCGGCGCACUACCCGAACAAAAGCCGGAAUGGGAGAGACCCCCCUGAGCGGGUGUUUUUGCCCUUAUCGAUGUCCUGCUUCCCUCAGGCCCGCCUUCCCGUAGCCCGUCUGAGGGGACCGGAAGGUGGAAUAUGUGAAAGGAUGCGAAGCCAGGAAGAAAACUCCUUCUUUCACAAUUCCGUGCACUGCCGGGCUGUGUGCACGGCUGUCCCUGCGGCGCGGCCCCCACCUCGCGGUGGCCCUUCGCUCCCGGGGGCCGGGGCCCUGGGGGGCUUCUUCGGGCCGGUGACAGGGAACUCGCGCUGGGGGGCUGCUGCCCCGGCGCGAAGGGCGGGGCCGCGUCUUCGCACCCAGGCGAGGGAGAAGGUCCUGUGGGCGCCGCAGCCGCCCUGGAUCGGGAAAGGAUACUGUUAGUGGGUUUCGUUGAAUUGCAAAAACCCGAGCAACCCGGAGAGGGGAAGGGACUUCUCCCGCCCCCCGCAGCGCUCACACAGCCCUGGGGGUCAGGUCGACGUGGGUGGGAUUUUGCCGGGGGAAGGGGGCGGGGGCGUGCGAGGCGCCAUGAUCGGAAGUCUGGGUUUGACUGCUGCCUGCGAGGUGGAAAAUUCGCGGGGGUUGGGUGACGGCGAUCCGAGAGGUGGGGUCCAGCCUCCCCUGGUCGUGCUGGUAGUUCUCGUGGGUAAGGGCAGUCCCGAGGAUACACUUGUGAAGUCAAACUCUUUGCUGGUUUAUUCAAGUCCCUUUUUAUCUCUUUAUCUGAACUUAAUGUAAAUAAAUCUCCACAUUCCUUAAACUGGUUGCUUUUAUCAUACUAAAUAUCUUCUAUAAUUAGAGAUUGUGGUAAUACCAGCCCAGGAUUCUCAGACUCUUUUUAGUGGAAAUAUUUUUAUACUGUUUACCCUUCAGGCAGAGGGAAAUUUUUCUGUGUAGUAAAAUCCCUUAAAAAGGAAAGAAAAUUAGAAGGAAGAUAUGCUUUGAUUCGUUAGCUUUAUUACUAUAUUUUGUUUUACCCAAAAGGCCUAAAUAAGAAAUUGGUAUUGUUUUACCACUGACUUUCAAGAAAAUCCAAUCUAGCACUCAGAGAAAUAGGAUUUUCAUAUGUUAGAGGUGCAGAAAGUGUAGUAGUUGGUAGUGUGCUGUUUUUCUUUCUCAAAUUGGGAUCAAGUACUGGAUUAUUCUAUUUUUAUUUACAUCAGAGUUUUCCUAAGAAACAAUAAGUAGCCUAUACAUAUUAUAAAUGUGUGAUGAAUUAUAUUGAAAAGAAGAAAGGGUCCUAGGGAACUCACAUAAAAAAAUAGGCCACUGACUUGGUAGGAAUAAUUAGUAGACAACUAAAUAGGAAACUCUCUUCCCUUUUCUGUUGCUCCUUGUAAUACCUCGCUUGAGACAUGGCUGUUCACUCACUAUGAGAAAGGACAUCAGAGAAGAGCUAGAAUCUGGCAAUCAGUCUGUCCACUCAGAGUGACAGACAGACAAUGCAAGUCAAGCUCAGAAUUGUGAGCAACUUAAAAAGAAGCAUGAUCUCUUAUUGAUCAUUGUAUCCACAACAGUAAGCACAGUAACUAGCACAUAAUAGGCCCUCAAUAAAGACUACUGAAAUCAAUUGAAUUGAAAUUGUUUAGGACUGCCCUUAUAAUGGGGUGAAUAGGGAUGGUGCUGAGACCUUGGAAUUCCUUCUGAGGAAGCCUGGCCCAUCCUCCUCUACUUUAUAUGUGGGACGCCUCCCACAGCAUGGCUUGCCAAGCGGUGCCAUGUCCGCACCCGGGAUCCGAACCGUGGAACCACAGGCCGCUGAAGCGGAACGUGCGCACUUAACCCCUGCACCACUGGGCCAG
Long non-coding RNA from Equus caballus (horse), 2195 nucleotides. Lineage: Eukaryota; Metazoa; Chordata; Mammalia; Perissodactyla; Equidae. The record is from Ensembl.